ACAUCAGGACUAAAACCACAGGCGCACAGACCUCCAUCUCCAGUGCCCAGCUGUGUGUCCAUGAAGAGUGAUAGGUCCAUGGAUUAUCCUCCCAAAUUCAGCAAUG
Alosa sapidissima (American shad) is the source of this 106-nucleotide long non-coding RNA. RefSeq lists it as uncharacterized. The transcript is spliced from 3 exons. The record is from RefSeq and is a predicted model, not a curated record. Lineage: Eukaryota; Metazoa; Chordata; Actinopteri; Clupeiformes; Clupeidae.